AGUUUUAUAAUCAAAUUCAUGAUAUUAAAUUGCAAAUUUAAAAUUGAACUAUUUUAAAAUUCUAAAACUU
This 70-nucleotide transfer RNA is filed under the name Plectrocnemia sp. 1 YW-2021a. RNAcentral's name for it is "tRNA-Cys". The record is from RNAcentral. Lineage: Eukaryota; Metazoa; Arthropoda; Insecta; Trichoptera; Polycentropodidae.